This 492-nucleotide ribosomal RNA is filed under the name uncultured bacterium. RNAcentral's name for it is "partial 16S ribosomal RNA". It matches the Rfam family "Bacterial small subunit ribosomal RNA", at positions 29 to 507 of the family's 1533-position model. The record is from RNAcentral.
AGUGAACGCUGGCGGUAGGCCUAACACAUGCAAGUCGAACGGCAGCACAGUAAGAGCUUGCUCUUACGGGUGGCGAGUGGCGGACGGGUGAGGAAUACAUCGGAAUCUACUUUUUCGUGGGGGAUAACGUAGGGAAACUUACGCUAAUACCGCAUACGACCUACGGGUGAAAGCAGGGGAUCUUCGGACCUUGCGCGAUUGAAUGAGCCGAUGUCGGAUUAGCUAGUUGGCGGGGUAAAGGCCCACCAAGGCGACGAUCCGUAGCUGGUCUGAGAGGAUGAUCAGCCACACUGGAACGGAGACACGGUCCAGACUCCUACGGGAGGCAGCAGGGGGGAAUAUUGGACAAUGGGCGCAAGCCUGAUCCAGCCAGACCGCGUGGGUGAAGAAGGCCUUCGGGUUGUAAAGCCCUUUUGUUGGGAAAGAAAAGCAGCAGGUUAAUACCCCGCUGUUCUGACGGUACCCAAAGAAUAAGCACCGGCUAACUUCGUG